UCCCUAGUGGCUCAGACGGUAAAGAAUCUGCCUGCAAUGCGGGAGACCCGGGUUCAAUCCCUGGGUGGGGAA
RNAcentral lists this transfer RNA (72 nucleotides) under Ovis aries (sheep). It matches the Rfam family "tRNA". From Rfam's summary of the family: Transfer RNA (tRNA) molecules are approximately 80 nucleotides in length. Lineage: Eukaryota; Metazoa; Chordata; Mammalia; Artiodactyla; Bovidae. The record is from Rfam by way of RNAcentral.